UUAACUUCAGAUCAAACUGGGCCGUACGUUGCUCCUGGACUGAAAUUCAGUGUGCGUGUGUGCGUGUGUGUGUGUGUCCCCCUCAGGUGAAGCUAUGCUGGGACGAUCUGACGGCUGCUCACUGCGUCCAAUCAGCAGCCACUCAAAGCGCCUCCAGUCCCAUCCAGCUGGAUUUCCCUCAGGCUCAGGGAGCUCAGAUGGAUGCGUGUUUUCCUCCAGGAAGCCUUCCUACACGUCCAGAAUCUGAUAGUCCUGAUCCACAGCUGGACCCACUGCUUGAACCACCGCUUGAACCAGAGCUAAGACCACAGCUGGAACAACAGCUUGAAACACAGCUGGGACCACAGCUGGGACCACAACUAGGACAACAGCUGGGACCACAGCUGGAACAACAGCUGGGACCACAACGAGGACAACAGCUGGGACCACAACUAGGACAAGAGCUUGGACCACAGCUGGGCAUCGUUCUCUCCCAACAGGCCAAGAUGUUACUCCAGCAGAUGCAGACCUUUGGCGAUCUACUGAAGAGUAGAAAACUGAGUCUUGAAAAGCAAACAGAGGGUUUGUGUCACCUCAGUGAAACCUUGGACUCGUUGGUAAAAAGUUUCCUCCUGACGAAUAAGGAGCUACGCCGCCUGAAGAAGCAGCACAGAGCAGACCUGGGUUGUCUUGACCCCACACGGACAUUGAAGGCACAGAUCUACUACUCUGUGUAUCUCAUGAGGAAGCUGAAGAAGUAUCAGGAGCAGCUCUAUGAGACUCCGCCCCCCUCCUUCCCUGUUCAGCAUGUGUGCUCGUCCACUCCACGAACCCCCCCACAGUUUCCAGCUGAUCCUGGUGAGAUGAAGGAACUGAGGUCAACCAGAGAAGGAAGUGACAACGACUACAAACACACACUCACCUCUCACUUCCUCCCACCUCUGAGCGAUGCUCACACACACAUGGAUCAAAGCAGUCAGUCCAGCUGCUUCCCUGGUCCUGUACCCAGCACCACCAGGACCACCACCAGAACCAGAACCAGUAGCAGUAGCACCACCAGCAGUAGCAGGAGGAGGAGGAUCAUACCUGGAGAGAGGAGGAGCUCCAAAGUUCAAUCGCAAGACGGGAUCAUCUCUCCAGAACUGGACACUAGCUUCAUUAGAUCAGAGAGCAGCCCCCUCCCCCCUUCUCCUGUCCACCAGAUGGCGACAGAGAGUGUCCGAUUGUUCCGCUGUGAUUCCAUUGAGUCCAUCUCUGCUGAGGAAAGCUCCAGGAAUCCUCCGUCUGUUUUUCACCCGCCCACAAACGCCAGCACGGCUCAGCAGGAGAAAAGUGGGAGGAGCCGCAGCCUCUACUGCUCGUCACCGCAGCGUGUCACAUGCAGCAGCAUCAGCAGCAUCAGCAGCAGGAUGAGAUCCAAUGUUCAGCCUCCUGCUCUGAUGUCCAGAUCCACUCAGACCUCAGCAGCAGUGGAGAGGAGCAGCCGGACGCCACAGCACCGUGAGAACCUUCUUUAUUCAACCAGUUCAGAGUUCUCAGUGAGAGAAACGUCUCUGAUUUAUAUCAACUAAACAGCUUCCUCACAUUCACAUCAGGGAAAGGAAACCAGGAGAGACCCUGGUUAUGAUGAACAUGGCAAAAAUCAUCAUGAAAUCUGGUGAAAAGAGGUUAAAAGUGACAAUAAUGGGUCAACAUAUAAACAUUAGGUGUAAAAGUGGUAGAAAGUGUUUAUAAGUGCUGAACAUGUCUGGAAAGUGGAAAAAAUGUGUAGAAAAGACAUUAAAAUGUGAUGUAGAAGUGUCAGAAAUGGGAGAAAUGUAGCAAAUAUAAAUUAAAAGGAGCAAAAAUAUGGAAAGAAAAAGUGAUGAAAAUAGGUUAAAAUAUGGUGAGUUUGGUGAAGUUACAGAAAAAUGAUAAAAAUAAGCAAAAAUGGGCUGAAAUUGUUCAAAAGAUAUUCACACACACACACACACUUUCUUCUGACUGAGCACUCACUGAAUGGAACUCCUAACCUGCUUUAUGAUUGGCAGACUGUUGCAGCGACUCCGCCCCUCAUCGGGUCAGACCAGUGAAGAGCCAACACAACCGUGCUCUUUUUCUACGCCAGUUUCUGCCAGGGUGUCCACCUCAAAAACUGUAAGUACACACACACACACACAAUAUACAAAAUAACUCCACAAACACACAAAACAAC
Long non-coding RNA from Gouania willdenowi (blunt-snouted clingfish), 2173 nucleotides. The record is from Ensembl. NCBI's taxonomy places the organism in Eukaryota, Metazoa, Chordata, Actinopteri, Blenniiformes, Gobiesocidae.